Non-coding RNA from Microcebus murinus (gray mouse lemur), 1380 nucleotides. Lineage: Eukaryota; Metazoa; Chordata; Mammalia; Primates; Cheirogaleidae. The record is from RefSeq and is a predicted model, not a curated record.
GUUUUAUUGGCAAGGGGUGAGAGCGUGGCUUCUUGGGGUUCCUCCCAGCACUGGGCAUUGUUCUCCUUCAACCACCGGGUGAGCCUUUAGUCCAUUUGCUCAUCUGUGGAAUGGGGCCACUGAUGCUGGCGCCACUUAACGUUCUAGGACUGUCAUGUGGGAAAAUGUGGAUGAUUGUGCAACCCAGGGACAGGAGUAUUUGUUUGUUCUCCAGGAGAUGGGAGAAGAGAAAGCUUUAUAGCUUCCAGAUUGGACCUGCUGGCUCCGAUGGAAAGAGAUGGGGCCCGCGUGGGACAGAACUUGGAGAAACCUCACUAAGAGAACCUCUGCGAGGGCCCUGGACUCUGCCUGCCUUGUCCUGUUCCCUGGAGUGAGGAGGAAAACAUGAGCCUGAGCCGUCUGUCUGCAGGGCAGGUGUGCACCCAGGUGUACGGCACGUGGCAUAGACACACACAGAUACUGAUGCCUCCUCCCUUUGCCCCUGACUACGGCCACUUGGUAGUUUUCCAGGCCUGACAUUUCAAACAUGCAAUGCCAUAUGUAUUGCCACUCUCAGGUAAUUAUCACGUAAAAUUAAGCUAGUCUUGUACAUGAAACCAGCAAUUAGCCAGGGAUUGAAGGUCAGGGAGAGCUCGUUUAUAGAGUCGCUAACAAAAUGUUAAGUGGAAGUGUGUGUCAGAUGGGCCAGGAGGCUGGAUUAGCCAGGGUCGCAGCGGUGGGACUGGAGAGCCGGUGGGGAGGAGAUGGGGAUUUGUGGCUCACACUUUUCUCUCUUCCAGCUUUCAAUCUGGGGCAUGGCUUUGAAGGGAAGGUUGCUAAGCCUGCUAAACCCUGAUGCACACCAACGAGGUUUUCCCAUUCAUCUGGAAACCUGGUAGGUCCCGCCCCAAAGCCUGAAUGUCAAUUCCACCUCCUGCCUGCCUGCCCACCACUCCAACAUUUUACACAUAAGCCUUUCAGAACUGCUUUGGGUACCUGAAGAUAGAAUGGAUGAUCUCUCAAGACUCAGAAACUUUGCACAUGCCAUUCCCUUUGCUUGGAAUGCUUUUCCCUCUCUCCCAACUGCCUCAUUAUCAGCCUGGAAAAUUUCUGUUUUUCUUCCAAAAAUCUCAGGUAUCACUUCUCUAGGGGCUUUCCCAGACCCCUCACUUUAUUCCAGGGGAAAGUUAUCACCACUUUUGUUCUGUGAGCGUGUUUCCACGGUUGCACUUACACUCAUGGCAAUUUAUUGGCGAUUUGUCUUCUCUGCUGGACCGAGAAUUACUCAUCAAUCCUUGGCAAGCUGGGGCUGCUCAAUAAAUGUUUGUGGGAUGAAUAUAUACAUCAGUCUCCUCUGCCCUUUGUUCUUUUCCAUAUCUUUCAAGGCCCUGCUCAGAUGUC